GACGAACGCUGGCGGCGUGCUUAACACAUGCAAGUCGAGCGAGAAGACGUAGCAAUACGUUUGUAAAGCGGCGAACGGGUGAGGAAUACAUGGGUAACCUACCCUCGAGUGGGGAAUAACUAGCCGAAAGGUUAGCUAAUACCGCGUACGCUUCUUGGACUUCGGUUCAGGGAGGAAAGCGAUGCCGAGGGUAUCGCGCUCUUGGAUGGGCUCAUGUCCUAUCAGCUUGUUGGUGAGGUAACGGCUCACCAAGGCUUCGACGGGUAGCUGGUCUGAGAGGACGGAUCAGCCACACUGGCACUGCGACACGGGCCAGACUCCUACGGGAGGCAGCAGUAAGGAAUAUUGCGCAAUGGGCGAAAGCCUGACGCAGCGACGCCGCGUGGGGGAGU
Molecule: ribosomal RNA, 392 nt
Filed under: uncultured bacterium
Lineage: Bacteria
Description: bacterial SSU rRNA
Rfam family: Bacterial small subunit ribosomal RNA
Source: RNAcentral